RNAcentral lists this ribosomal RNA (496 nucleotides) under uncultured bacterium. RNAcentral describes it as "partial 16S ribosomal RNA". It matches the Rfam family "Bacterial small subunit ribosomal RNA", at positions 29 to 507 of the family's 1533-position model. The record is from RNAcentral.
AUGAACGCUGGCGGCGUGCCUAAUCCAUGCCAGUCGAGCGCACAGACGAGGAGCUUGCUCCUCUGACGUUAGCGGCGGACGGGUGAGUAACACGUGGAUAACCUACCUAUAAGACUGGGAUAACUUCGGGAAACCGGAGCUAAUACCGGAUAAUAUAUUGAACCGCAUGGUUCAAUAGUGAAAGACGGUUUUGCUGUCACUUAUAGAUGGAUCCGCGCCGCAUUAGCUAGUUGGUAAGGUAACGGCUUACCAAGGCAACGAUGCGUAGCCGACCUGAGAGGGUGAUCGGCCACACUGGAACUGAGACACGGUCCAGACUCCUACGGGAGGCAGCAGUAGGGAAUCUUCCGCAAUGGGCGAAAGCUUGACGGAGCAACGCCGCGUGAGUGAUGAAGGUCUUCGGAUCGUAAAACUCUGUUAUUAGGGAAGAACAAAUGUGUAAGUAACUAUGCACGUCUUGACGGUACCUAAUCAGAAAGCCACGGCUAACUACGUG